CUUACGCAGAGUGUGACAAGCCUAAGCCAAAACCCACACCUCCUCCUUACUAUUAUAAGUCUCCACCACCACCAUCACCUAAACCAUACUACUACAAAUCCCCGCCUCCUCCUCCUCCAACUUACGUGUACAAGUCCCCGCCACCACCGGCUUACGUGUACAAGUCACCACCACCACCGGCUUACAUAUACAAGUCGCCGCCACCUCCUUCACCUAAGCCAUACUACUACAAGUCACCACCUCCUCCGACUUACGUCUACAAGUCUCCACCACCACCUGCUUACGUGUACAAGUCGCCUCCACCACCGGCAUAUGUGUACAAGUCACCACCACCUCCUUCACCUAAGCCAUACUACUACAAGUCACCACCUCCUCCGACUUACGUCUACAAGUCUCCACCACCACCUGCUUACGUGUACAAGUCGCCUCCACCACCGGCAUAUGUGUACAAGUCACCACCACCUCCUUCACCUAAGCCAUACUACUACAAGUCACCACCUCCUCCGACUUACGUCUACAAGUCUCCACCACCACCUGCUUACGUGUACAAGUCAUACUUGAGUGCAUUGAAGCCAUUAUCCUGAUCCUUAAUGAUACCGUCCAGAAUUUUGUGGCGGGUGACUACUACUCCACACCCCCCCCCCCCCCCCCCCCCCCCCCCCCGCCUCCUCCUUACUACUAUAAAUCCCCACCACCUCCUUCCCCAUCUCCGCCUCCACCAUACUACUACAAGUCCCCACCCCCACCAUCACCAUCUCCGCCUCCACCGUACUACUACAAAUCUCCCCCGCCUCCAUCACCAUCACCACCCCCUCCAUACUACUAAAUAUCUCCACCUCCUCAGUCACCAGGGCGUGGUUUACGCAAGACCCCCCCCCCCCCCCACCCCCACCCCCCCCCCCUCCAUAUUACUACAAGUCUCCACCCCCACCAUCACCAUCUCCCCCGCCCCCGUAUUACUACAAGUCUCCCCCUCCUCCAUCGCCAUCACCGCCUCCUCCUUACUACUACAAGUCCCCUCCUCCUCCGUCACCAUCUCCACCACCACCAUACUACUACAAAUCUCCUCCACCACCAUCUCCCUCACCACCUCCACCAUACUACUACAAGUCUCCACCUCCUCCGUCACCAUCUCCACCACCACCAUACUACUACAAAUCUCCUCCACCACCAUCUCCCUCACCACCUCCACCACACCCCUACAAGUGUCUACUACAAAUCUCCCCCACCACCAUCUCCCUCACCUCCACCACCGUACUACUACAAGUCCCCUCCCCCUCCAUCUCCCUCACCACCACCACCAUACUACUACAAAUCUCCCCCACCACCAUCUCCCUCACCUCCACCACCGUACUACUACAAGUCCCCUCCCCCUCCAUCUCCCUCACCACCACCACCAUACUACUACAAAUCUCCCCCACCACCAUCUCCCUCACCUCCACCACCGUACUACUACAAGUCCCCUCCCCCACCAUCACCCUCACCACCACCACCAUACUACUACAAGUCUCCCCCACCACCAUCUCCUUCACCUCCACCACCGUACUACUACAAGUCCCCUCCCCCUCCAUCUCCCUCACCACCACCACCGUAUUACUACAAAUCUCCACCACCUCCUUCCCCAUCGCCGCCACCUCCUUACCACUACAAGUCUCCCCCACCACCAUCACCAUCUCCACCACCACCAUACUACUACAAGUCCCCUCCUCCUCCCUCACCGUCACCACCACCACCAUACUACUACAAGUCCCCACCACCACCAUCGCCAUCACCCCCUCCUCCAUACCACUACAGCUCACCUCCCCCACCGGUGAAAUCACCACCACCACCGGCAUACAUCUACUCAUCUCCCCCACCACCAACCCACUACUAGGCUCAAACGCCUCGGCAACACACCACCAAUGUAAGUUCCAUAAUCAUUUCUCCAUUCCAUCAAACUCUAUAUUUCAUUCCUUAACAGCUUUUCUAACAGUACUACUUUCCAUUUCAGAUUUAAGAAUUGACGAUGUAAUAAAAGAAGGCUCCAAUCAUGGUCUGAUAAACCCAACAUCAUCAAUUAGUGCCAAUAAUAACAACAGCCGAUAUGGUUCAGUAUGCAGAGUUGCUAUCCUGCACAUGGCAAUCUUGCUGUGUUCAUCAUCAUCAUCAUCAUCAAGUGGAGUUUUGUUCAAGAAGACGACAUUUGGGAAAUUAAGCAACUAUUCUUAGUUAUCGGAUUUGAUGAUCAAUUGGGUUUGUUCAGAGUUUAUUUGUUUAGUUGAUGUAUGUAAAAUCUAUUUGUUAUUUAGUUUUCCAGCUUUAAUUUUUUGUUGGGGAGGAUUUGGGAAAUGCGUGCUUAAUUAUGUUAUGGAAAUGCUAAUAUUAUAUAAAUUAUUCAAUGUUUAUGUUUGGGGAAGCAACGCAACGCAACGCAAAAUUGAUGUAAUUGCAAUUUUUUAUUGGAGCUUCUUCUACUUAUGUUUGACCUCCCUGCAGAUUGCGAGUAAUAAAGUAAACCCAUUUCAUAUUCUGAUUUUUCGAUUCAAUUUCGAUCGAAAUUACUUACUCACAAAUAAACUUCACUUAGCUUCAAUCUUUAGUAGGCCACUACUGAUCACGACUAUCUUUACAUUGCCUAAAUCGUUCAGAAAUUUGAAUCAGACCGGC
This 2646-nucleotide long non-coding RNA is filed under the name Linum usitatissimum (flax). RNAcentral describes it as "long non-coding RNA (LUSI_LNC003129)". The record is from RNAcentral. Lineage: Eukaryota; Viridiplantae; Streptophyta; Magnoliopsida; Malpighiales; Linaceae.